UAGUGGCUGUAGAAGAGAAAAAAAUUAACAAAAUAUAACCAAUAAAUUCAUCUCAUUUUAAUGUAAGAAAUUUCUGUUUGGUUCCUCAAGAAACCUGUAUUUGUGAAGUUCAUUGAGGUUACAAACCUCAAUCAAAAUUAAUUUAUUAGCUGAUCCAUUUUCACAUCAUACUAUGCAAUAGUACAACAAUUGUACUUGAAAUCAUUUCACUCCAAUUCAGUCUUGUCAAACAUCCUAGGAAAAAAUAACAAACAAACACAAGUUGCAGAACAAACCAGGAAUAGGACGACCAUUCUGAUUACUCUUUGAGGAACCUGAGGUCAACAUUCCACUCCUAGCAGUUGUUGCAGUAGCAGACACAUUUAAUUUUGGACCAGAUGAAGAAAGUAAAAAACACCAGACAACUCAAUUCCAUAGCACAGGCACAAUGUCAGACACUCCACUUAAUAUUUAUCCUAAUUACUAAUCAAUAAAAAGCAAUGUGAAGGAUAUGAGGACGAAGCUACUGGCAACCGCGGACAAGCAUUGCGUUUUGCUCUAUUCCCAACAGUAUCAUUGACAGUAAGUACUUUCCUCUUUGCCUAUCAAAGAGGUAUAAAAAAUUAAUGUAAUAGAAAUCAGAAUAAGUUCAAUUUUUAUUCACUAUGAUAUAAUCGCGUAAAGAGUAUGUAUACAUAGACUAACCAAGGAAACCGGGGCCGGAGAAGCUUUAGCCAAUGCACCAGGCUUCGGAGAUAAGCCAAUUUUUCUAUCUUUAACGGGAAGAGCAUCUGAUGAAUGCAUAAACAAAUUCUCUUCAAUUUCCUGCAACUCUAUCGAAGUGCCAACGGGCUCUUCUUCUUGGAUAGCUUCCAGAUUCAACCCUGACUUAGCAGAGACCGUGCCACUAAUCAUAGAAAGCUCCACCGCAUUCAAAACACCUGAAAAGUAAGGUUCAACACCAAUUAAUUAAUAAUAUCAAAUUUUACAGUUUAUUCAUGGAUAAUAGAGAGAAGAGAAUGUGAAUGCCUUGUUCGGUGAAGAAAGCUCGAUCCCACGCCAAGCUCUUGCGCAAGUUGUAACCGCCUCCUCUCUUCUUCCUCUUCAUCUUCUGAGUCUCCACGCUAAGCUUCUGUGGUUUGUUCCAAUCCGCGUUCUCUUUGUUCGCAUUCUCACCGAGCGAGGAACUCGGAGUUGCAGAAUCCGCACCCCCGCCACCUUCUCUUCCUUCUGCAGGUGCAUUAGUCAAAUCAGUGAUACAUUAACAAUUUUUCAUCACAAAUUAUAGAAAAACCCUAACCGGAUUGAGGAGGAUUAGAUCCGAGGGAAAGGAGAGGGGAGCAAGAGAAAACGUCGGUGGACGCUGCCGAAACAUCGAACAGCAACGAAUCGUCUUCGCCUGCGAUCUCGAGAAGCGGAAGGUUAGAAAUGGAAUCCAUGUGAUAUCACUUCUUCUUCUCUUUGAGUUGUAGUUUUUGCAUUGGCUGUGAAAUGGAAUGAAUGAAUCGGUUACUGUGUCUGCUUCUGCUGCACACUCCUUCCGAAAUUCAAAUAAGGGCGAGCGGGAACCACCACUGUUCUUUUGGCACGUUAGUGUAACGGAUUUACGAGAUGAGCCACGCUAAUGUCACGGAUUUACCAAGAAUAUCCAACGGUAGUGUGAGUGAUAUAAUGUAAUUGGGCUACACCAAAUUUGUAGUUGUUAGUUAGUUAUUACCCUUUGGGCCCAUUAGCCUCUCUUUCUAUGUCCUUCUUUACUACUCCGCCUAGUCGUUCCAUGUGGAUAACUUGAUUUUUUUUUUAAUUAUUCUUUUGAUCA
Non-coding RNA from Cajanus cajan (pigeon pea), 1798 nucleotides. NCBI's taxonomy places the organism in Eukaryota, Viridiplantae, Streptophyta, Magnoliopsida, Fabales, Fabaceae. The record is from RefSeq and is a predicted model, not a curated record.